CAAACCGACACCCGCUCAAUUUGAUGGGAAGACGUCUUCCCUCUCAUCGAAUGGUUUUCACUACUGUAUGUACGCACAGUGCUACGCAAUCGUCAUUUAAACUUGCGGAAGAGCUUCGUUUCCUUUUUAAUGAGAUUGGGGUGUGGGUUAGAGAGAUCACUGACAGGGAUGAAACGGGGAGGCAUGCCUGCAUGGGCGGAUGGAUGGAUGGAUGCAAUUCGAAGACCAUCAUGUCCUUUGUGCUGUACACAUACUCCUUGUACCUAUAUGGUAAUGCCAGCUUCACUCUUCACACAAAGGUUGAGGAAGUUACUCAGGUACCCGACACUGAACAAUCCAGCUUAACUUUUGAAACAGUUUUAAAACUGAAUUCAACAAUAUCACUAUCGAAAUCCUCGAC
Molecule: long non-coding RNA, 400 nt
Organism: Tigriopus californicus
Lineage: Eukaryota; Metazoa; Arthropoda; Copepoda; Harpacticoida; Harpacticidae
Exons: 3
Source: RefSeq, a predicted model, not a curated record